UUCUGGCUCAGGAUGAACGCUAGCGACAGGCUUAACACAUGCAAGUCGAGGGGCAGCAUAAAAGUAGCAAUACUUGGUGGCGACCGGCGCACGGGUGAGUAACGCGUAUGCAACCUACCUAUCAGAGGGGAAUAACCCGGCGAAAGUCGGACUAAUACCGCAUAAAACAGGGACACCGCAUGGUGAUAUUUGUUAAAGAAAUUCGCUGAUAGAUGGGCAUGCGUUCCAUUAGGUAGUUGGUGAGGUAACGGCUCACCAAGCCGACGAUGGAUAGGGAACUGAGAGGUUGGUCCCCCACACUGGUACUGAGACACGGACCAGACUCCUACGGGAGGCAGCAGUGAGGAAUAUUGGUCAAUGGGCGAGAGCCUGAACCAGCCAAGUCGCCGUGAAGGAAGAAGGAUCUAUGGUUCGUAAACUUCUUUUGCAGGGGAAUAAAGUGCAGGACGUGUCCUGUUUUGUAUGUACCCUGAGAAUAAGGAUCGGCUAACUCCGUGCCAGCAGCCGC
Molecule: ribosomal RNA, 508 nt
Filed under: uncultured bacterium
Lineage: Bacteria
Description: bacterial SSU rRNA
Rfam family: Bacterial small subunit ribosomal RNA
Source: RNAcentral